UACGUAGGGUGCGAGCGUUAAUCGGAAUUACUGGGCGUAAAGCGUGCGCAGGCGGUUUUGUAAGCCAGGGGUGAAAUCCCCGGGCUUAACCUGGGAAUGGCAUUUGGGACUGCAAGGCUUGAGUGCGGCAGAGGAGACUGGAAUUCCUGGUGUAGCAGUGAAAUGCGUAGAUAUCAGGAGGAACACCGAUGGCGAAGGCAGGUCUCUGGGCUGACACUGACGCUCAUGCACGAAAGCGUGGGGAGCAAACAGG
Molecule: ribosomal RNA, 253 nt
Filed under: uncultured bacterium
Lineage: Bacteria
Description: partial 16S ribosomal RNA
Rfam family: Bacterial small subunit ribosomal RNA
Source: RNAcentral